AUUGAACGCUGGCGGCAUGCCUUACACAUGCAAGUCGAACGGCAGCACGGGAGCAAUCCUGGUGGCGAGUGGCGAACGGGUGAGUAAUAUAUCGGAACGUGCCCGGUCGUGGGGAGUAACGUAGCGAAAGCUACGCUAAUACCGCAUACGAUCUACGGAUGAAAGCGGGGGAGUCGCAAGACCUCGCGCGAUUGGAGCGGCCGAUAUCAGAUUAGGUAGUUGGUGAGGUAAAGGCUCACCAAGCCGACGAUCUGUAGCUGGUCUGAGAGGACGACCAGCCACACUGGGACUGAGACACGGCCCAGACUCCUACGGGAGGCAGCAGUGGGGAAUUUUGGACAAUGGGCGGCAAGCCUGAUCCAGCAAUGCCGCGUGCAGGAUGAAGGCCU
Molecule: ribosomal RNA, 389 nt
Filed under: uncultured bacterium
Lineage: Bacteria
Description: bacterial SSU rRNA
Rfam family: Bacterial small subunit ribosomal RNA
Source: RNAcentral